Molecule: ribosomal RNA, 497 nt
Filed under: uncultured bacterium
Lineage: Bacteria
Description: partial 16S ribosomal RNA
Rfam family: Bacterial small subunit ribosomal RNA
Source: RNAcentral
GAUGAACGCUGGCGGCGUGCCUAAUACAUGCAAGUCGAGCGAACAGACGAGGAGCUUGCUCCUCUGACGUUAGCGGCGGACGGGUGAGUAACACGUGGAUAACCUACCUAUAAGACUGGGAUAACUUCUGGAAACCGGAGCUAAUACCGGAUAAUAUAUUGAACCGCAUGGUUCAAUAGUGAAAGACGGUUUUGCUGUCACUUAUAGAUGGAUCCGCGCCGCAUUAGCUAGUUGGUAAGGUAACGGCUUACCAAGGCAACGAUGCGUAGCCGACCUGAGAGGGUGAUCGGCCACACUGGAACUGAGACACGGUCCAGACUCCUACGGGAGGCAGCAGUAGGGAAUCUUCCGCAAUGGGCGAAAGCUUGACGGAGCAACGCCGCGUGAGUGAUGAAGGUCUUCGGAUCGUAAAACUCUGUUAUUAGGGAAGAACAAAUGUGUAAGUAACUAUGCACGUCUUGACGGUACCUAAUCAGAAAGCCACGGCUAACUACGUG